UCUUAAACUGGGCAGAAGAUUUGACCUUCAAGAUUCAAGGAUUAGACUCACAGAAACCUCAAGAAAGCCAAUCUUUCAUCUCACAAAGCCUAUCUCAAAGUUCAUGCCGAUCUAGUGAAUCCUCUGAGAAAAUAAGUACUCAAUCACACCUCACAAAAGAGAGGAAUAAAGACAGCAUUUCAGAGAAUUCAGCCGGACUAUGGGAUACCAGCACACAGCCUCAUCUAGCACAACAGACCUGAAACCCAUGCUAUCUUCAUCCUGUGGUAGUCCUUGAACCCUUUAAUGCAGGAGAUGUGGUGAAAGGGAAAGCGUAGCUUGAAUCACAGACAGCUCUGACUUUAAAUUAUUUAGCGCAUCAACCGCAAAACAUUUAGAGCAUCCCACUGUGACCCCCGUCCUGUAUUGGGUGGCUCUUGGGUCAUGCCUGUGAUGGUCCAUCAUACAGAAAGCCAACCUGUGCUGAUGAAACCAGAAGCAGUAUGGCUGGUGUGUCCCAUGUCACUUACUCCAGAAGAGCUGUGAAAAUGGGCUGAACACACACAGUGGCCAUUUGCACAGAAUUUGCAGCAUCAGGGUUUUCUGACAGCGGAAAACCACAACACUUCAGCUACACCAGAACACAUCAAAGAGUAAGUGGUUAUUAAGGUAAGAAUAUAUUUUCAGGAGAGGUGUUGC
Long non-coding RNA from Cygnus olor (mute swan), 678 nucleotides. RefSeq lists it as uncharacterized. The transcript has 3 exons. The record is from RefSeq and is a predicted model, not a curated record. Lineage: Eukaryota; Metazoa; Chordata; Aves; Anseriformes; Anatidae.